Pongo pygmaeus (Bornean orangutan) is the source of this 1225-nucleotide long non-coding RNA. RefSeq lists it as uncharacterized. Lineage: Eukaryota; Metazoa; Chordata; Mammalia; Primates; Hominidae. The transcript has 4 exons. The record is from RefSeq and is a predicted model, not a curated record.
AUCACAGAGCAAUAGGGAUUUUUCAGCUCCAAUUUAAUCUUAUAGGACCACCAUCGUAUAUACAAGAAGUCGGUGAUUGAUGCGUCAUUAUGCAGCUCACGACUGUGUGUUGAUCAAAAGGAAAAAAGGAAAGAAGAAAGAAAGGAAUGGUCAAUGUAAGAAAAGAACAGAAAAAAAUCUACAUCCGUGUGGUGUGUAUAGCCUAUAAGGAGGGCCACCUAGCCGGGAACUGAAGCCUCUUUCUUCAGCCACAGGAAUGGGUUUGAAAAGAGAUUGCCCAGUUCUCUUCAGAUAACUGCAGCCACGACUGACAACUUGGUGCAACUUCAUGAGAGAUGCUGAGCCACAACCACCCAGCUAGUUCAUGUACACAUUCCUAACCCUCAGAAACUGGAACUGUGACUGAACCUGUCAAGAAGAAAUUAACGAGGACUCGGGAUAAUUUCUUAAUGUACAAUUAGUGAGCAGUUUUCUUUUAUGGCUCCUUUACAAGUAGGAUAAUACAGAAAAUCAUCUACAAAGGAAACUCUAUUCUCCUGCUUAUAAUUAAUUUUGACGUUGUUAGCAAAUGUUUCCUUGCGAGCAUACUGACCUUACAAAUUUGUGUAUGAAAAUCAUGAAGAAAAUAUUUUUAAAGGGUUUAUUCUAAAGUCAUUAGUAGCUGAAUGACACGAUAUUUUAUAAAGUUUUUCAUGUUAAAUUGAGAUGUAAAGAUAAAUUACUACAGUAUAUAGUUCAUUGAAAAUUGCAUAGAGUAAAUUUAUAUAAACAGAAAUUAAUAGUUGUUAUACCUGUAUAUUUUGUCAUACUCCUUAUGUAGUUUUUCAAAUUUACUAACUACCUUGGUACCUGUGAUGCAUAUAUGCAUUAAAUAUUUACAAACAAUAUUUUAGUUUACUGAAUUGUUCAUUAUUAUUGUGUUGUAUUGACUAACGUGUAUUCAGAAUUUUUUAAAAUUAUAGGAAUUACUGUUGAUUGUGGAAGCCACAACUUUAAUCUAAUCCAUGUAAGUGUUUUCAAAGCUAAUGCAUCAAUGUUUUGAAUACAUGGCCCAAUAAUUGCUCAGUACAUGAUGAGUCUGUUGAACUUCAUGUAUUCUUCCAAAAAAUGGAAUCUGGUGUGCUGUAGAAACAGACUCAGUCAAAAGAAGGAGAUUGAGAGGGUCUUUGAAGCUGUAUCCACACAUGAGGGAAUGAAAUACUGCCUGUGAUCUUAAAAUGACAGC